CCUACGGGAGGCAGCAGUGGGGAAUAUUGGACAAUGGGCGAAAGCCUGAUCCAGCAAUUCCGCGUGUGUGAAGAAGGCCUUCGGGUUGUAAAGCACUUUAGUGGGGGAAGAAACAGCUUGGCCACACCAAGCCUUGACGGUACCCCAAGAAUAAGCACCGGCUAACUCUGUGCCAGCAGCCGCGGUAAUACAGAGGGUGCAAGCGUUAAUCGGAUUUACUGGGCGUAAAGGGUGCGUAGGUGGCUAUUUAAGUCGGAUGUGAAAGCCCGGGGCUCAACCUCGGAAUUGCAUUCGAUACUGAGUGGCUAGAGUUCGGUAGAGGGCGGCGGAAUUUCCGGUGUAGCGGUGAAAUGCGUAGAUAUCGGAAGGAACAUCAAUGGCGAAGGCAGCCGCCUGGGCCUGGACUGACACUGAGGCACGAAAGCGUGGGUAGCAAACAGGAUUAGAUACCCUGGUAGUCCACGCCGUAAACGAUGAGAACUUGACGUUGGUUCGUUUUACGAAUCGGUGUCGCNGCUACGCGAUAAGUUACCGUCCGUCCGUGGGACGGUACGGCCGACGAGGUACGUAACGUAAGUAGAGUAGNGNGAGAGACGACGACGACGACGACGAGAGGGAG
RNAcentral lists this ribosomal RNA (619 nucleotides) under uncultured bacterium. RNAcentral describes it as "bacterial SSU rRNA". The stretch from base 1 to 536 matches the Rfam family "Bacterial small subunit ribosomal RNA", at positions 338 to 873 of the family's 1533-position model. The record is from RNAcentral.